AUGCGCAUAUCGGGUACGUGCUCGGGAGUCGCAGAGGCUGUCAAUUUCGCGACUUGUCAACGUUAAGGCCACGAAUACUUUUUCAUUGAAGCAUAUUUGAUAACAGUGCGACGCAGUCUGCCUCGGUGGCAGUUGCUCCACUCGGGUUUAUUGAGGUGGUCGGUGCUGCGCUCGCUGCAAACGUGCGCUGGUGCUCGCGAGUCGGGCUGUGAGGGCUCGUAAACGUACGCGCACCAGGCUGAUGUGGACACUACGGAUCGAUAGGGAACUGUUUGAGGAUGGUACUCCUUGGAAGCGACGGUUUGGUCUGGGACGUUCGAACUGGACUGUAACGGCCAGCGGUAAGGCUUCUGUUGUAGGCAGAUUUGAAACCUGUUGACUGGAGGUGGCGGAACGGCGUCACAACUGGGUAUCGCGGAGAAUCGCGUAUCUUUCAUGAACGAUAGCAAUUGGGUAUCCGAGGAUUCCACUGAGAACCAAUGAUUCGCUCCAUAAGACUUUUGGGUCUUUCAGAAGAAUUCGGAGUGACGCCCACGCACCGAUGGCGUCACUGCAUGCUUCGCAGUGCAAGCGCACGAACUCCCCAACACUGGGAUUUCAGUACAUGAGACUCGACGGAGAAGAAAUUAUCAGAGAAACAAUACAGGAUUUCAUGUUGAAAGCAUGCACGGGAACCUAUCCGAUGCUUCUCAAGAAAUGAAAAACGGAUAUUCAUGGGACCGAACGCGCCUCUGUGCGAGAAAAGAGGUUGCUCGAGUUUGCAGCAAUGGAUCGUGCAUCGUAUUCUAUCCAUGCAAAGUGUCGCUCGGCAUGCGAUCCGGUCUCCAGGGACGUUGGACGAAAAACCCUUACAAGGUGUCGAAGAUGUAGCCAUUCGGUGCAGUUGCGGUUUCAAUGGACGCUAUUGCAUCCAAUUGCAGAGCGCACCGAAGGCUUCUCGUAUGCAUCCAUCGGGAUACAUGGGGCGUGCCGCACGAGGUCGUCGGCCCCGGUGCCCGCUGCGCCUUCAGACUUUAGGCAUACGUCACGCGAUACCCACUAGAGCGUGAACGUGCGCUCGUGUCCUGCACGCUGGUCAUGGAGCGCACGCCGACUAGCACGCUUAUGUUUAGCUCCUGCGCACCUGGUACCCGAAACUGCCAUCGUCGCAAUGCAGGCAUCCGCGCUAACAUUGCUCGUCUCUAGAGCAUGUUGAAUCAACAUGGAACACUGAACCGCUUCCAUUCUUCCUCGACUUCGAUGUAUUUUCCGAACCAUUUUCAUAGGUGUAUAGAUUCGACGUUGCGUGUGCGGGAUUCAUGGAUUCCGGUUUCAUGAUUCGUUUUGGGAUUCUCGGGUGUCUCUUGAUCAGCGUGGCUCUUUCGACGCAUCGGCGCUGGAACUCGCAACGGUAUCGGAAUCAAAGGCGUACGCGACGCGCUCAAACAACGGUUCGUACAACAAGUGAGAUCAUUACGCGACUCAGAGGUACGAGCCUCGACGCUUCUGCUUUCCGUUGGCGAGGUGUCCGCACAUCGCGCACGGUUCAUGUGUUCGAUUUUUCGGAUGCAAGAGUGGACUGGGGCGCAGCUAUUCGCGCUGCUGGACUGCUGAGGUAACGUACGCGAUGUCGCGCGUUGACGAUUUGUUCCCGAGCGUGUGCGGAAGCCACACUGAACUCUUCACGUCCGAUGCUCGAUUCCGCUCGAACGACGUAUGCUCCAGGCGUUGCAGUCGUCGACGAGGGUUCGUAAUUCGACAGUACACUCGUAGCUCUCACGUGAUUAGCUCGCAGAGGCUCCCGUCGCUUGUAUUCGCAUGGACAAGAGUGCUGGGCUCUGUCUUCAGUCAUCGCAGAGAUUCCUUCGAGUGAAAACUGCAUCACCGGUUUGUGCAAGAAUGAGUUAGGCGAAGCGAAAUCUCUCCAAGUGUUCUCCGUCGUAGAUUUCGCUCCAGCUGCACGUUUCCCCGUGGAGCACGAGGCGUUCCAUAUAUCCUCUGUGGAAUGGAGCGGUGUGCUUAUCGGGGUUAGACCAGUCGGAAGCAACCCUCACUGGUCGUGCACCGCACCGGACACGGAUUUGGAGCAGCGUAUCGCAGGAUGCCUCCUGCAACCGCCAAUGGCUGGUACCGAGCGAUGAUUCAAACGGUCAUCCAAGGAAGAGCGACCGCCAGACGAGGAGCUGCUGUGGACACUCGCUGGCACACCUGUCUGCAUUCGUGCAUGAACGUUGCGAAGUGCGUCUGGAGGCUGCAUAGAAAGACAGUGAAAAUUGCAAGCGAAGCUCGGAUCGCAACUUGCGCCUCUGCAUGAAUAGCGUCGACAAAGGCGGGAAGCGGCGCAAUCGGGACACGAACGCUGCCAUCAGUAUUCAUCUGCUUGCGAAGAUGGAGAUGAAGGCAGAACAGAUAUCCGCAUAUUUUAUGCUGGAGGUUUAGCGUACGGACAGGUUAUCCGUCGCAGAGAAAUCCCACAAAAGGCCUAUAUUGAUAGCGUUAGAGUGCAGCCCAAUCUAUAUACAACGUAAACCUCAUUA
Molecule: unclassified non-coding RNA, 2516 nt
Filed under: Cyanidioschyzon merolae strain 10D
Lineage: Eukaryota; Rhodophyta; Bangiophyceae; Cyanidiales; Cyanidiaceae
Description: hypothetical transcript
Source: RNAcentral